AUUGAACGCUGGCGGCAGGCCUAACACAUGCAAGUCGAGCGGAUGAAGGGAGCUUGCUCCUGGAUUCAGCGGCGGACGGGUGAGUAAUGCCUAGGAAUCUGCCUGGUAGUGGGGGAUAACGUCCGGAAACGGGCGCUAAUACCGCAUACGUCCUGAGGGAGAAAGUGGGGGAUCUUCGGACCUCACGCUAUCAGAUGAGCCUAGGUCGGAUUAGCUAGUUGGUGGGGUAAAGGCCUACCAAGGCGACGAUCCGUAACUGGUCUGAGAGGAUGAUCAAUCACACUGGAACUGAGACACGGUCCAGACUCCUACGAGAGGCAGCAGUGGGGAAUAUUGGACAAAGGGCGAAAGCCUGAUCCAGCCAUGCCGCGUGUGUGAAGAAGGUCUUCGGAUUGUAAAGCACUUUAAGUUGGGAGGAAGGGCAGUAAGUUAAUACCUUGCUGUUUUGACGUUACCAACAGAAUAAGCACCGGCUAACUUCGUG
This 484-nucleotide ribosomal RNA is filed under the name uncultured bacterium. RNAcentral describes it as "partial 16S ribosomal RNA". It matches the Rfam family "Bacterial small subunit ribosomal RNA", at positions 30 to 507 of the family's 1533-position model. The record is from RNAcentral.